GAUGAACGCUAGCGAUAGGCCUAACACAUGCAAGUCGAGGGGCAUCACAUGAAGUAGCAAUACGGAUGGUGGCGACCGGCGCACGGGUGAGUAACACGUAUGCAACCUGCCUUCAACAAGGGGAUAACCCGUUGAAAGACGGACUAAUACCCUAUAACACAGGGGUCCCGCAUGGGGAUAUUUGUUAAAGGACAACCGGUUGAAGAUGGGCAUGCGUUCCAUUAGCUAGUUGGCGGGGUAAGGCCCACCAAGGCAACGAUGGAUAGGGGAACUGAGAGGUUUAUCCCCCACACUGGUACUGAGACACGGACCAGACUCCUACGGGAGGCAGCAGUGAGGAAUAUUGGUCAAUGGACGCAAGUCUGAACCAGCCACGUCGCGUGAAGGAAGACGGCCCUACGGGUUGUAAACUUCUUUUGCAAGGGAAUAAAGUGGGCCACGUGUGGCCUUUUGCAAGUACCUUGCGAAUAAGGAUCGGCUAACUCCGUG
Molecule: ribosomal RNA, 489 nt
Filed under: uncultured bacterium
Lineage: Bacteria
Description: bacterial SSU rRNA
Rfam family: Bacterial small subunit ribosomal RNA
Source: RNAcentral